Molecule: ribosomal RNA, 253 nt
Filed under: uncultured bacterium
Lineage: Bacteria
Description: partial 16S ribosomal RNA
Rfam family: Bacterial small subunit ribosomal RNA
Source: RNAcentral
UACAGAGGGGGCAAGCGUUGUUCGGAAUUACUGGGCGUAAAGGGCGCGUAGGCGGCCCGCUAAGUCGAACGUGAAAUCCCCGGGCUCAACCCGGGAACUGCGUCCGAUACUGGCAGGCUUGAAUCCGGGAGAGGGAUGCGGAAUUCCAGGUGUAGCGGUGAAAUGCGUAGAUAUCUGGAGGAACACCGGAGGCGAAGGCGGCUUGCUGGGCGUGAUCUGACGCUGAGGCGCGAAAGCGUGGGGAGCAAACAGG